AGGGGCGGAUCUACAGCUAAGUGAGUGUGUGCACUUGCACCCCCUGUCUUUGUAUAAUUUACUCUCAAAAUUCUGUUUUUGAACUAUUUUGCACACCCUCAAAUAUUGAAUUUGCACCACCGUUUUCUCACUCCAAGCUUUUAAUCAGGCUUUUCAUUUUUUGACUGAAUGGUACAGCCAGAUCAUGCUUAUAGGCUUUGUACAUUUUACUUUAUAUACUUACAUUUUAUUUGUUUUUUCAUAUACGUGUAUAGUAUGAAUAGGGUUGUAGGCUUUUACUUUUUAUAUAAGGUUUUAUCUUAACUCUUGUAAUUAACUUAUUAAAUACUUGGUGAAUUAUCCUAAACUUCUCUCAGGCAAAAGUACAAAAAUAAGAGUCCAACGCAGGGUAAAUGGAAGUAGCCACUAAGCUAUAGGUGUGUGUAGCUCGCUAGGUUUAACGUAUCAUAAUUCACAAUUCUUCGAUUUUAAUUAUAAGUAAAUUAAUAUUCAUUUUUUAGAUUUAUUGAAUAACUGACAAUCCGAUAUUCCGAUCUAUGAAUAUAUAUGCUUAUAAUUAAGGUCACAAUGAGUAAGUGUUUUAAAUUUUGUGUUAGUUCAUGUAUUUAUAUAUAAUAAUUAUUAAUGUUUUUAGUUGAAAAUUUUGCACCCGCUGACUCGGGGUCCUGGAUCCGCCACUG
Molecule: long non-coding RNA, 680 nt
Filed under: Trifolium pratense (red clover)
Lineage: Eukaryota; Viridiplantae; Streptophyta; Magnoliopsida; Fabales; Fabaceae
Description: long non-coding RNA (TPRA_LNC005945)
Source: RNAcentral